ACCUGACCCCAGGGGAUAGCUCAAGUCGGUAGAGCAUGAGACUCUUAACCUCAGGACCAUAGGUUUGGGCCCCAUGUUGGGUG
Molecule: non-coding RNA, 83 nt
Organism: Podarcis lilfordi (Lilford's wall lizard)
Lineage: Eukaryota; Metazoa; Chordata; Lepidosauria; Squamata; Lacertidae
Source: the annotation of a GenBank genome assembly